RNAcentral lists this ribosomal RNA (253 nucleotides) under uncultured bacterium. RNAcentral's name for it is "partial 16S ribosomal RNA". It matches the Rfam family "Bacterial small subunit ribosomal RNA", at positions 524 to 776 of the family's 1533-position model. The record is from RNAcentral.
UACGGAGGGUGCAAGCGUUAUCCGGAUUUACUGGGUUUAAAGGGUGCGUAGGUGGGCGAGAAAGUCAGUGGUGAAAUCUCCGGGCUUAACCCGGAAACUGCCAUUGAUACUAUUUGUCUUGAAUACUUUGGAGGUAAGCGGAAUAUGUCAUGUAGCGGUGAAAUGCUUAGAUAUGACAUAGAACACCCAUUGCGAAGGCAGCUUGCUACACAAUGAUUGACGCUGAGGCACGAAAGCGUGGGGAUCAAACAGG